RNAcentral lists this ribosomal RNA (464 nucleotides) under uncultured bacterium. RNAcentral's name for it is "bacterial SSU rRNA". It matches the Rfam family "Bacterial small subunit ribosomal RNA", at positions 331 to 792 of the family's 1533-position model. The record is from RNAcentral.
CCAGACUCCUACGGGAGGCAGCAGUGAGGAAUAUUGGUCAAUGGGCGGAAGCCUGAACCAGCCAAGUCGCGUGAGGGAAGAAGGCCCUGCGGGUCGCAGACCUCUUUGGACGGGGAGCAAGGCCGCCGACGUGUCGGCGGAAGGAGAGUACCCGUAGAACAAGCAUCGGCUAACUCCGUGCCAGCAGCCGCGGUAAUACGGAGGAUGCGAGCGUUAUCCGGAUUUAUUGGGUUUAAAGGGUGCGUAGGCGGACUGGAAAGUCAGGGGUAAAAGCGAGAGGCUCAACCUCUUUCCGCCGUUGAAACUGUCGGUCUUGAGUGGGCGAGAAGUAUGCGGAAUGCGUGGUGUAGCGGUGAAAUGCAUAGAUAUCAGGAGGAACACCGGUGGCGAAGGCGGCCUGCUGGACUGUAACUGACACUGAGGCUCGAAAGCGUGGGGAGCAAACAGGAUUAGAUACCCCGGUA